RNAcentral lists this ribosomal RNA (476 nucleotides) under uncultured bacterium. RNAcentral's name for it is "bacterial SSU rRNA". It matches the Rfam family "Bacterial small subunit ribosomal RNA", at positions 26 to 518 of the family's 1533-position model. The record is from RNAcentral.
AGGACGAACGCUGGCGGCGUGCCUAACACAUGCAAGUCGAGCGAGGAGAUUCCUUCGGGAUGAUCCUAGCGGCGGACGGGUGAGUAACACGUGGGCAACCUGCCUCAUAGAGAGGAAUAGCCUUCCGAAAGGGAGAUUAAUACCUCAUAACAUUGCAGUUUCGCAUGGAACAGCAAUUAAAGGAGUAAUCCGCUAUGAGAUGGGCCCGCGGCGCAUUAGCUAGUUGGUGAGGUAACGGCUCACCAAGGCGACGAUGCGUAGCCGACCUGAGAGGGUGAUCGGCCACAUUGGGACUGAGACACGGCCCAGACUCCUACGGGAGGCAGCAGUGGGGAAUAUUGCACAAUGGGGGAAACCCUGAUGCAAGCAACGCCGCGUGAGUGAUGACGGCCCUCGGGUUGUAAAGCUCUGUCUUCAGGGACGAUAAUGACGGUACCUGAGGAGGAAGCCACGGCUAACUACGUGCCAGCCGCAGC